CUCUCCUCAUGAUCAUCAUCCUCCACCUUCAUCCAUGAACAACAUGAUGCUGCAUCUCAUCCCACAGGCUGUAAUAUUAUGUUAUAGUGUGAUAACUAGCGCUCAGGACGAAUCCAACCUGACUGAGAGGCCUUAUGUGGUCCUGCAGAAGCAGAAUCUAGUGACAUUGGGGAGUGUCCUCGCUGUUCUGCUGCUGCUGAUGAUCAUCAUGGCUGUCUGUGUCUACAAACCUCUGACUCGUCGCUGAAACUGGACACAAACAUCAACUGUGAGGGUUAUCUUCUGGUGCAAGCUGCAUUGCGAGUAGAGCCCAGCAGAUGGCAGUACAGCCAGGCAGCUAUCAGCAGCGACACCUUCUGUUAGAUUUGGAAGCCUAAAAUAAAAUAUGCUGCGACUGAACAGCUAAAAAUGACACAUGUAUUUGCAGAUUGUAGUAAAAGCGGAAAAUAUAUGCACCUAACAUCUGUAUCCGCCAGUUUUAGCAAUGGUUAAAAGUGAAGCCGUCAUCACUCCCUAUUAAAACAGGCUCACAUUCAAGGAAAUUGCUGCCUCAAAUAUUCAGCUUGAAAAAAACAUUUUUGCUUAUUUUCAAAAAGUUCAAGCUGAGAGAUUGAACUACAGCAAAGAAGACAUAAGGAUAUCAAAGAUUAUCAAGCCAGGGUUUCCUCCUUAAAGGUACACCACAGGGUGGUGUUGCUACCAGUGUAGAGCUUGCUCAAAAUUGGCAGCAGAUGGGUGUGAGCAUGUUUGCAUGCACUGUGAGACAAAGACUGUUGGAUAACGACCUUGUAACAAGUAUGGCUGCAAAGAAGCUGCUUUGGUCCAAGGAAAACAUCAAGGCCGACUGGGUUUCAACAGGAAGUACAAGGAGUGGACUCCACAGGACUGGAACAAAACUAUUUUCUCUCAUGGAUCCAUCUUGUCUACGAAAUCUGGAAAAUCUUUAGUCCAGAGAAGAAAGCAGAAGUGGUGUCAUGAUCAGCAUUAUAUUGUGUCAGCUGCGACAGAUCAUAAUAUUGUCCUCCUUCCAGCAUUCCAAGCACAUUUCGAUGAUAAUCAGGAUGUUUUCCAACAUGACGGAGCACCGAGCCACAAGGCACAAAUGAUCAUGAAGUGGCUCAGAAAUUAUGGUGUUGAAUAUUUGAACCUGUGGCCAGAAAUGUGUCAAGAUCUUACUCCUGUUAAGAAAAUGCGUUAAUUUUGCAAAAAUAAUAAUAAAAAUAAUAAUAGGUGAGAUUCACCUAUUGCAAAAAAAGAAAAAUCUUUCUAUUUUACAGCAGCUUGGCAGUGAACAGCAACAUGUGGGGGAGGGUCUAUGCUAUACUCCAUGGAGCUUGAGGAAAAACUUACUCUGGUAUUUUAUUUCUCUGUUGCCUCAUUAAAAGGUUUUGGGACUGUAGAAGUAAUUGGGUAAAAACUUCUAGUGGUUUAGACCUACCUUUAUAUAAGUGACAUAAUAUGGGAUUUUGUAAUUGUUUUGCUCAUAAAAGGCACUGAAAUUUAAGAAAUUAGAUUAGAUUCAUAUGUGAUUAUAGGACUAAUAAGAAGAAAGGCCAUGUUAACUAUAACCAGAAAUUAUGGCCAAUGAAUUUUGAUGACUGGCUUGAUAAGCAGCUAUGAAUCCAAUGAUUUAAUUAUUUUAACUCAUUUUCUGCUGUCCACAAAAGUUUUUUAAUUUGUUUUAUGAUUAAAAGUGUGGAAACAUGUGAAUUUAUUUAUUUUAACCUUCUUAAAAAUUCUGGCCAAGUAGAGAAAAAUGUUUAUUUCUCACUCUCAUUAAGAAAAACAAAAAGAUAAAUCUCUAAAAUUCUGAGAAAUAAAAAGAUUUUACAUAGCUUUAAAGUUGGAUUAUCCUCUUUACAUUGGAUAUGCCAUGACACAUCUGAGAAUUUUUUUUUUUACAAAUUACCAACCACAGUGAUCAGUGCUUCUUUAUGUGCUAUGUUGAAAUGUGUUUAUUACCAAUUCAUUAAACUGUAAAAAAAUC
This is a long non-coding RNA of Xiphophorus maculatus (southern platyfish), 1987 nucleotides long. RefSeq lists it as uncharacterized. The transcript has 2 exons. The record is from RefSeq and is a predicted model, not a curated record. Lineage: Eukaryota; Metazoa; Chordata; Actinopteri; Cyprinodontiformes; Poeciliidae.